CUGCAGUGAUGAGUGCUGAGGUGGCUGAUCUGGUAUUGCUUUUCCUCCGGGGAGAGCUCUGACCAGGGAAUGAUCUCAACUUAAUCUUCUCUCUGAGCAG
Chelmon rostratus (copperband butterflyfish) is the source of this 100-nucleotide small nucleolar RNA. RefSeq annotates it as Z30 small nucleolar RNA. Lineage: Eukaryota; Metazoa; Chordata; Actinopteri; Chaetodontiformes; Chaetodontidae. The record is from RefSeq and is a predicted model, not a curated record. The transcript has a single exon.